CAAAAACAUCGCCUCCUGCAACACAACCAAGUAUAGGAGGUCCAGCCUGCCCAGUGACUACAAGUUCAACGGCCGCGGUAUUUUGACCGUGCAAAGGUAGCGCAAUCACUUGUCUCUUAAAUGGAGACCUGUAUGAAUGGCUAAACGAGGGCUUAACUGUUUCCCCCCUCCAGUCAGUGAAAUUGAUCUAUCCGUGCAGAAGCGGGUAUAAUAAUACAAGACGAGAAGACCCUUUGGAGCUUAAGGUACAAGAAUCAGCCACGUCAAGCAACUUAAUAAAGAGCAAAAACUUUGUGGACAAUGAUUUUUUACCUUCGGUUGGGGCGACCACGGAGGAAAAAAGAGCCUCCAGGUGGACUGGGAAAACAUCCUAAAGCUAAGAGAGACAUCUCUAGGCCGCAGAACAUCUGACCAAUCAUGAUCCGGCUGACAAAGCCGAUCAACGAACCAAGUUACCCUAGGGAUAACAGCGCAAUCCUCUCCCAGAGUCCAUAUCGACGAGGGGGUUUACGACCUCGAU
RNAcentral lists this ribosomal RNA (520 nucleotides) under Gymnocypris dobula. RNAcentral describes it as "partial 16S ribosomal RNA". It matches the Rfam family "Bacterial large subunit ribosomal RNA", at positions 1808 to 2530 of the family's 2925-position model. Lineage: Eukaryota; Metazoa; Chordata; Actinopteri; Cypriniformes; Cyprinidae. The record is from RNAcentral.